Molecule: ribosomal RNA, 497 nt
Filed under: uncultured bacterium
Lineage: Bacteria
Description: partial 16S ribosomal RNA
Rfam family: Bacterial small subunit ribosomal RNA
Source: RNAcentral
GAUGAACGCUGGCGGCGUGCCUAAUACAUGCAAGUCGAGCGAACGGACGAGAAGCUUGCUUCUCUGAUGUUAGCGGCGGACGGGUGAGUAACACGUGGAUAACCUACCUAUAAGACUGGGAUAACUUCGGGAAACCGGAGCUAAUACCGGAUGAUAUUUUGAACCGCAUUGUUCAAAAGUGAAAGACGGUCUUGCUGUCACUUAUAGAUGGAUCCGCGCUGCAUUAGCUAGUUGGUAAGGUAACGGCUUACCAAGGCAACGAUGCAUAGCCGACCUGAGAGGGUGAUAGGCCACGCUGGAACUGAGGCACGUUCCAGACUCCUACGGGAGGCAGCAGUAGGGAAUCUUCAGCAAUGGGCGAAAGCCUGACGGAGCAACGCCGCGUGAGUGAUGAAGGUCUUCGGAUCGUAAAACUCUGUUAUUAGGGAAGAACAUAUGUGUAAGUAACUGUGCACAUCUUGACGGUACCUAAUCAGAAAGCCACGGCUAACUACGUG